CAGCUUCCAGAGGCUGCCUCCUUCCUCCAUCUUUAAAGUCAGCCACAGCGGGUGGAGCCCUUCUCAUUGCAUCUCUGGGACUUUUCUCCUCAUCUCUCGUCUCUUUCUCUCACCCAGCGGGGAAAGUUUCCGCUUUCGUGUUCUCCACUCAAGCAAUUAGCCCGGCGCCGCGGGAAUAAUCCAAGAUGAGAGUCCCAUCUCAAGGUCUGUAACUUCAGUCACAUCUGCAUAGUCACUUCGGCCAUCUACAGUAACAUAUUCACAGGUUCUCAGGAUUAGGGCACGGAUAUCUUUGGGGCUUUUAUUCUGCCCCUAAAUCCUUAAAUUUACAAGCCCCCAAGCCAGUGCCCACAGCAAGAUUUCUUAAAAGCCUCUUUUUCCUCUCCCCUCCACUUCUUCCGAAAGCUGCACCUGCUUUGGCAUCUCUUUCCUCAAUAUUCUCCACAAAAACUCUCACAGGCCCAGCCUCUAAGCUGCCUCCCUUAUCCUGGCGCCGCCUUCCUCCUGGGAAGAAAAAAACCCGCACAACGAAACCUCUCCAGUGGGCAGGAGAGCCCCCUCCUCCGGCUUCUGCCUGUUGUUGACGGACGCAACCAUCCUUCGCAACUUGGUUUCUAUGGGAAACCGGGUUAGGGCUGGGGUGCGGUCCACAGCGGACCUCGCGGCGGCGGUACCAGGCUGGGACAUCCACCCUUUGGACACCUCUGUCCCUCCGAUGCCCCAGUGAUGACCUAGGACAUGGGUCCCCAACUUCUGUCCCCUCUUAGACCCCGUCCUUCGCAGGGCCACUGGCUGCGACCACCUUGACCUGCGGCAGGACACCAGGAGAUCUCAGGUCCAGCCCGCGCCCCGACCAGCCCUUGAACAGUAUGUCCUGCCGCCCCUCCUCCCCCCUCCAGCGCCCGCUCUUCUUCCUCCGCGCCCGGCCCCUCGCGGGUCACCGGUCCCCUGCAGCCUCCGCCCCUGGCUGUGACCGCCCCGGCUGCCGUCUCCAGGGCGCGGACCGACGCGGGAAGCGGGUCGGCGAGGGACGGGGACACAGUGCGCCGAAAUCCAUGUGGAAUCCAACACUGGGAGACAAUGCUGCGAGCGAAGGAAGGAAGACAAAAAGCUAAAGGAGCAGCCCUGCCCGUCGUUCCGAUUCUCCAGAAGUUCCUGAGAACGUACGAGAAGCACUGUGCACAGACUCGGACGUCCGUGUGCCCGGCCGUCAAGAGGGACCUGAAAGCCGGCAUUGACAAUGGACAGAUUCUCAGGAAGUUUAUACUUGUAAGACCUGAUGACUCCCCGCCAAGCAUCCCACCGAUUUCCUUGGAACCUUUGCUUAUGACAAUUCGAGAAGAGUGUUACACGCUGGGGAAAGAGAUCUGCAUCUGGGGCCUUCAACUGAGCAACCCAGAGAUUGCCAGACUCGCUUUGCUUCUGGAGUUGAAGGGGCGCAGCACCUGCCCGUUUACCACCCUAGAGCUCGUUGAUUGCAAGAUGGAUCCGUGGUCUCUCGGGAGACUUGGGGAGGCUCUGCAGUUCAGCAGUUUGCACUCUCUUGUCCUGGAUUACUGCAACUUUGGAAUUGAAGAAAUUGAGCGUAUUUUCUCAGGCCUGGAGAACAACCAAAGGCUCCAAGGCCUCAGCCUGCGUUACUGUGGUCCGGGGCCACGGAGCGGGCCGGCGCUGGGCUCGGUCGUAAGCCAGAGUGCUGUCCGUGAGCUGCACCUCGACGGCAAUUACUUGCAAUGUUCUGGAGCUCUGGCUCUGCUCAGACCCCUAGCAGAGUAUGCAGAGAUGCAGGGCAAAGGCUGGCCCACCACAUCCUCACCAGACGCCAGGAAUCCCCCUCAGCUGCUCGGAGUCAGCCACAGAGCAAGUUCAACUUUGAACCCGAUUACAAAGUCAUCUGGAGCUGUAACAGUGAAAACUACUUCAGGGAAGAAUAAGAGAAAGAAAGGAAUCAAGAAAAAAGUUAAAGGUUUGACUGAAGCUGGUCCUUGGUUAGUGAAAUUGCAUUUGGCAGAUAAUGGCAUAGAUGGAAAAGGAAACGAAGGAGAAAAAGGCUUCUUGGAAUUCACUCAGAUUUUAACAUGCCUGAUCAAAUACUCUGCCCACUUAAGGGAAAUUGACCUUGGAAACAACGGCCUGGGAGAAAGGGCUGCUGCUGACAUACUUGAAGCACUGCGAGCCAGAAAGGAGCAAGAGAGAGGAAGAAAUGAAAUGCUGCUCCAUGGCCUGGGGACUAGAGAGAGAAUUCAACUGAGUAAAUCUGGAAAUCUAAUUGGCUGUAUUAAACAGUUAUGAAUCGAGCAGCAUACCUCAUUAGUGUUGAUGAGGAAAUUCCAGACUGAUUGGCUUAAAAUUCCACUCGUGGGAGAGGCUGAACUACAAUUAGAUUAGGUAUUAAGUUGUGGUUGCUGUCCUGAGGUUUAGCACAAGUGACUCAAUUUUGGGCCUGUUGUUCCUUUUUUUAACAGAAUGGAAAAGAAAGGACUAGCAUAAGAAGUUAUUACAGAAAUAAGCUAAUUGUUAUGAUCACUCACAUCAAGAAGAUACAGGGAAAGGUAUUAGGUGAGAGGAAAUUUAGUUAUUAAUUAUUGCCCAGUUAAUAAGAAUGUGGGAGACUGCCCCUCUCAGAAGCCUGAGACCCAGUCCGUCAAAUGGGGCUGUGAGAUAUCCUGCCCACAUUCUCUUGUGCUCCUCUCCUCUCAGGUAAACUGCCAGUCUUAAAACUUACAGUCACUCCUCAGAUCUCCUCAGACACCUUCCGAUCUAUUUGGAAAAAUAGCAAGAAAUCUUAUAUUACCCGUAAAAAGAAGAAAAAGGUAUGUUCUUGGAUGUCUGUAUCAGACAGUAGUAGCCAUUGGGGGCGCUGUAUGGAGCCUGGGCAUGCUGCUGGGGUAGAGGGUGCCCUCACAGCAGAUUUUGCACUUGAUAAAAUCAUGAGAAUUUGGGUUCUAGGUAACAGUCUCCUAAACCAUGGUUCCAUUCUGACGGAUGAUGACUGUACCAAAGGACAAGAAAUAAGGGAACAACAUAGUUCCCUCAAAUAUUAGUGCAAACCCUGCCUCUUCUCCAACUCCCUCACCCUCCCGGCAAAUCUUGGUUCCUAGUGGCCCAUUGUGGAGCUGAAAUGGUGAAUUUACCUGAGCUCUUUAUGAAGCAUGUGCUGCCUCUUAGGGGGUAAUGAUUUAUGUAUGUUUACUCUCUAUUAAGUACUACUCUCUUUUUUUAAUUUAUGAUUUACUGUUAACUAUUUCACAGGUUAAAAACUGACUAUGGAUGCCAUCUAUUUCUAUGGCCAACCAGAUAUGCCUAGAAAGAUAUUGCUUGUUCUAUAAUAAUAUUUUUCACUGUAACCAAGCCCCUUUCAAGUUCUAAAAUUUGACAAAACAAUUUUAUGAAAAUUCAAAGAAGUGUUAAUCCUAUCGUGCUUGUCAACUUCUAAAAUGUGAAUUUCACAAGUAGGCCUUAGAGAAAAUGGGUGGGAUUCUCUUCUGGAGCUUCUUCUCUUAUACAUGUGAAAUUUAUGAUUUGAAGGAAGUCAUGUUCUUUAUCUAAGACAGAAAGAAUCUUCUUUCAUAAAUAUAUCUAUAGUUGGGAACAAUAGUAAUUUUUGGAAAUAAUAACCACUUUAUAAAAGACAACAUCCCUCCAAAUGGGCAUCUCCUCCAAAUAAGGAAACUUCUGAUCACCAUACCCCCCAUGAAGAUGUCAGACAGAAAUGGAGGAAGUGUGGUUGAUGUAUGUAUGGAUGAUAAAUUGGAUUAGUUGAAUUUUAUAUGCCAGGACAAUAUGGUGCAGGAAUGAAAAGCAUGGACUGGGGAGUUAGAUGAACAAGAAUUCUUUGUGGAAACCAGCUGCUUUCCAAGUAUGUGACUUUGGGCAAGUCAAUUAACCUCAUUGUGCCUCAGUUUCCCUUUAUAUAAGAUACAGAUAAUAAUAGCAUCUAUCUCAUUUGGUUAGCAUUGAAUGAGAGGACACAUGGCAAGCAUUUUAGGUCAAUACUUGUUUCAUAGUACAUGCUCACAAAUAAAUAUUAGUGGCUCUGAUUAUUGCUGUUAUUAUUGUUGAUGUUAGAAUUGAGUGAUUCCAGUUAUUUCUCUUAGGACAGCUACACAAGAAAAAUAGAAAAGAAAAAAAGAUGAAGACUUAGGACCUCUGUAUUUUGAAGUAAAGAAAAAAAAGUCAUUCAUUCUAUGUACAAAUGUAACAAGCACUGGCAAGUUCAUGAAACCAAACUAACUGUGGGGAUGGGUAUAGUAAAUUAUGUCUCCUCUUGAGGAUCUUAGCAUCUAGCUAGGAAGACAAGAUCCUCACACAUUAAAAGUAAACAAUAAUAGAGCAUAAGAGUUGAAAUAAUAUGUCAUUAUCGAGGGUAACAAAGGCUAUAGAGUAGUGAGAUCAAUUUAGCAAAUCUCCAGAAUUUAAAUAUCCAAUGUGUGAGGCCUCCUGAGAAAUUAUUCCUGAUUUAAAAAAAAAAAUUUGGAAAAAAAAUGGAAAUUUGCCACUGACAUCCACUGGGUGAGAGUUUAAAAUCUGUUUCUCUUUAGGGGUCUUUUGGCCGUGUCUAUCAAAAUGAAAAAUACAUAGCUUUUGACCCAGAUAUUCUACUUCUAGAAAUUUAUUUUACAGAUACACUCUCACACUGUGCAAAGAAAUAUACAUGAGGAUAUUCACUGAGGCACUGUUUAUUAUACACUGGAAACAACUAAAUGUUCUCAGAGGAUUCUCAGGGAAAUAAAUCACAGGAAAUAUAUGUGGUGGAAUACUAUGCAGCCAUCAAGAGGAAUAAUGUAGAUAUAUAAAUGCUUAUACAGAAAGACAAAGUAAUACUGUUAAACAAAAAGAGCAGUCUAGAGAAUAGUAUAUGUGAAAAACUCAUAUUAAAAGUGAAGUGAUGUAAUAUGAGCCAGCAAUUUCACUUCUGAGUAUACACACAAAAGAAUUGAAAGCGGGAUCUUGAAGAGCUAUUUGUAUAUCUAUGUUCAUAGCAGCAUUAUGCACAAUAGUCAAAGGUGGAAGCAACCCAAAUGAAUGGAUAAACAAAAUAUGGUCUAUACAUACAAUGGAAUAUUAUUCAGCUUUAAAAAGGAAGGAAAUUCUGACACAUGCUACAACAUGGAUGAACCUUCAGGACAUCAUGCUAAGUGAAAUAAACCAGUCACAAAAAGACAAAUACUGUUUGAUUCCACUUAUAUGAGAUAUUGAGAAUAGUCAAACUCAGAAACAGAAAGUAGGAUGGUGGAUGCCAGGGGAAGAGGAGAGGGAAAUGGAGAGUUGUUUAAAGGGUAUAGAGUUUCAGUUUUGGAAGACGAAAAAGUUCUGGAGAUUGGUUGUGUUAACAAUGUGAAUGUACUUAAUACUAUUGAACUGUACACUUAAAAAUGGCUAGGAUGGCAAACUUCAUGUUAUGUGUAUUUUACCAAAAUUAAAAAUUUUUUUAAUGAGCUG
Long non-coding RNA from Equus caballus (horse), 5442 nucleotides. Lineage: Eukaryota; Metazoa; Chordata; Mammalia; Perissodactyla; Equidae. The record is from Ensembl.